This 173-nucleotide ribosomal RNA is filed under the name uncultured cyanobacterium. Its description in RNAcentral is "partial 23S ribosomal RNA". It matches the Rfam family "Bacterial large subunit ribosomal RNA", at positions 1 to 187 of the family's 2925-position model. Lineage: Bacteria; Bacillati; Cyanobacteriota. The record is from RNAcentral.
GGUCAAGCUAUAAAGGGCUCAUGGCGGAUACCUUGGCACACAGAGGCGAUGAAGGAUGUGGUUACCUGCGAUAUGUCUCGGGGAGCUGGAUACACGCUUUGAUCCGGGAAUUUCCGAAUGGGGCAACCCCUAGUACGGCCAGCUGAAUACAUAGGCUGGCGCGAGCCAACCCA